This is a long non-coding RNA of Prosopis cineraria, 702 nucleotides long. RefSeq lists it as uncharacterized. The record is from RefSeq and is a predicted model, not a curated record. NCBI's taxonomy places the organism in Eukaryota, Viridiplantae, Streptophyta, Magnoliopsida, Fabales, Fabaceae. The transcript has 3 exons.
UUCAUCACAGAUAAUAUCCAACCUACUUUGCAAACUCAUGAUGAUAUCUCCCUGUGCAAAGAAUCGUGAUCAGGAUGUAAGAGGACAAAAACAAGGGACCCAAGUUAGUGCAAUCUGAAGAAGAUUAAGCAAUUCAUUGCUCAAAGGCCUCAUUGUUAAAAUAGAAACUUGUGCUCACUACCAAGAACCAACCAUCUCAAUGACUACAACAACAACAAGUGCUUGGAAAUUUAGGCCAGGUUAUGAGACUCUGCAUGAUCACAAAACAACCAGCCAAGACAGCCAACACAUCUGCUUCAAGGAGGGGCCAUAUCCAGAGUACAUUGCUUAGCUUCUAUGCUCAUGAUCUCCCCUGCCUCUCUUUCUUUCUUUUUGGAUAUGUACAGGAUGGGCCAGUUGAUCCAAGUGUCACCUGCCAAAAAAACUUAACCUAGGAGAGGCAAAGUAAAGGACAAAGAAGCAACUACGACACUGGUAGAGGUCAUGGGGGAGUAGUGGAGAAGAGAGGUAGUGAUGACAAGGGGGUUAUGAAGAGCCCAAGCAAUGGAAAUCACUUGGUCCUAGAAUUAUUUAAAAAGAUUUAAGAGAUGUCACGAACUGAUUCAGUGCGGUCAAAAGUAAAUUGGUUGUGGGGCGUUUAGUCUUAAAUUUAAAUCCAAAACUUGGGUGUAGCCAUGUGUUCACACUCAAUCAAGGGCACAA